CGGGGCAGAUUAAGGGACUCAGCUGCUUGCCUGUCGGUGGGAAGCAGCACGCAGGCAUGUGGCUGGUGGCGACCCUACACACUGAAUGGAGGACUCGGGUUUUCCAGUGAUAGAAGCCUGCCAAUAACUGGCAUCGGCUAAGCAGACCCAUGCACAGGAUCAUUCAUGGCAAAGUUUAUUUUAGCUGUGAAAGGCAGGAACUUUACU
This is a non-coding RNA of Pelobates cultripes (western spadefoot toad), 207 nucleotides long. Lineage: Eukaryota; Metazoa; Chordata; Amphibia; Anura; Pelobatidae. The record is from the annotation of a GenBank genome assembly.